AUUGAACGCUGGCGGCAGGCCUAACACAUGCAAGUCGAACGAGUGGCGGACGGGUGAGUAAUGUCUGGGAACCUGCCUGAUGGAGGGGGAUAACUACUGGAACCGGUAGCUAAUACCGCAUACCAUCGGUUCUGCCCAGGUGGGAUGAGCUUGCUGGUGGGGUAACGGCUCACCAAGGCGACGAUCCCUACCUGGUCUGAGAGGAUGACCAGCCACACUGGAACUGAGACACGGUCCAGACUCCUACGGGAGGCAGCAGUGGGGAAUAUUGCGCAAUGGGCGAAAGCCUGAUGCAGCAAUGCCGCGUGUAUGAAGAAGGCCUUCGGAUUGUAAAGUACUUUCAGCGGGGAGGCGUUACCCGCAGAAGAAGCACCGGCUAACUACGUGCCAGCAGCCGCGGUAAUUC
RNAcentral lists this ribosomal RNA (406 nucleotides) under uncultured bacterium. RNAcentral describes it as "partial 16S ribosomal RNA". It matches the Rfam family "Bacterial small subunit ribosomal RNA", at positions 30 to 526 of the family's 1533-position model. The record is from RNAcentral.